CCCGGGCGGAGCGCAGCCCCCGCCACCUGCUGGCUCCCGCGGCCCCCGGCGCCCGCUGGGGCCCCAGCUCCGCCACUUCGCCGAAUUCCUGCUGCAGCUUUGCUCCCCUAGAAAAUGCCUCAUCUUAGAAGGAGAGGGGGCGGAGGGGGGAGAAGGGGGAGAGGAGCCACAGUGCUUCACCUCUGAGCCUCGCUUCCUUAGGUUCUUCCAGGCUGCCAUCCUCCUCUUUGGCUGGUGGGUUUUUUUCUUUCUUGGGGUCUCAAGUGAAGCCUGAGAACCGGGUCUGUAAGCUCCCAAGUGCAGAUUCUCAGGUCUAGCGGUGACAUUGGACAGGACGAGACAUCUCCAAGCCUCGGUCAUUGCCUCUUAAAAUCUCACAACGUGUUUAUGAGGCUUUUGUGACAUACUUGCAAAUUCUCUUUGAAAACGAAAUAAUCUGUACAAUAAUCCCCCAAGACACAGGUUUACCUUUAUAACAAACCUGCACUUAUAACCCUGAACUUAAAAGUUAAAUAAAAGAAUUUAGGGCCGAGCGCGGUGGCCACUCCUGAAAUCCAAGCACUUUCGGAGGCCAAGGCAGGUGGAUCGCCUGAAGUCAGGAAUUCGAGACUAGCCUGGCCAACAUGGUGAAACCCCAUCUCUACUAAAAAUACCAAAAUUAGCUGGGCAUGGUGGCGGGCGCCUGUAAUCCCAGCUAUUCAGGAGGCUGAGGCAGGAGAAUCACUUGAACCCAGGAGGCUGAGGUUGCAGUGAGCUGAGAUCGCACCACUGCACUCCAGCCUGGGCAACACAGCCAGUUCCUGUCUCUUAAAUUUAAAAAAAAAAAGUAGAAAGAAUAAUGAACCUACCAUCCGGCAGUGACCACACAAGGUCCAUUCUUUUUUUCUAAGCAGGAAUAGCCACCCUUACUCCAACUGGGGAAAUCCCACAUUAUUCAAUUUCUCUCAAUACUUAAUAAUAAAUCUCAAGAUGAUAAGAUCAAAUUUAAAAAUUAACAAUAUUCCUUAAUAUUCUCAAAUAUAUUGAGGGUUUAUUGAAUGCAGGCUAAGCAUAGCAUGUAUACAAUAGAGCAUUUUUUAUUCUAUGGACAUUUAUGAAGUAGAGAUUUCUCCAUUAUUACAGACUCUUUGUAAAAGUUUUUAAUGGCUGCAAAUUAUCAUAGUUUAACAUCCCCUCUAUUAUUUUAAUAUUAAAGAUAACAUUGUCAUAAAUGUCUUUCUACAAAAUCUUGUGAAUUUAAGAUCGCUUAGAAUAGAUUUCCUACAGUGGAACUAUUGAGUCAACUGGUAGGGAAUAUUUUUAAAGGCUUUUUCUCUUUUAAACAAAUAUUUCUAUCUUGCUUUCCAAAAGUCUUGUAUCAAUAUACCUUCUAACUAGCAUUGAUUGUGUUAAAGUACCCAUUUUACUGCAUUCUGACCAAAAGUAAAUUUUAAAAUUUGAAAAUAAAAUUGUAAAUUUGGUAUGCUUAAAGAACUCUAUUUCAUUACAUAUAUAUACGUUGUUAAAUAAUGUAAAUUUCAAAUAUACUUCGAACUAUAGCAAUCAAUAAAUAUAGUGGAUAUCCAUGAGCCUACUGCCUCAUCCUGUCAAAACUUAAUAUGUCUGCUCAAUGUUUGCUUCAGAUAUUUUUUGGAAUAAAAAAAUUACAGAUA
This 1652-nucleotide long non-coding RNA is filed under the name Homo sapiens (human). Its description in RNAcentral is "HSALNT0158293". The stretch from base 662 to 809 matches the Rfam family "Metazoan signal recognition particle RNA". The record is from RNAcentral. Lineage: Eukaryota; Metazoa; Chordata; Mammalia; Primates; Hominidae.